This 913-nucleotide non-coding RNA is filed under the name Nymphargus megacheirus (Santa Rosa cochran frog). RNAcentral describes it as "partial 12S ribosomal RNA". It matches the Rfam family "Bacterial small subunit ribosomal RNA". The record is from RNAcentral. Lineage: Eukaryota; Metazoa; Chordata; Amphibia; Anura; Centrolenidae.
UGGUCCUGGCCUUGAGAUCAAUUAUUACUUAGUAUACACAUGCAAGUCUCCGCACCCCUGUGAAAACGCCCUUAAAUCCACCUUAGGGAUAAGGAGCCGGUAUCAGGCACAACUAAACUGCCCAAAACACCUAGCUACGCCACACCCACAAGGGACCUCAGCAGUGAUUAACAUUGAGCAUAAGCGACAGCUUGACUCAGUUAAAGUAAAUAGAGCCGGCAAAUCUGGUGCCAGCCGCCGCGGUUACACCACGUGGCUCAAAUUGACCUUUAUCGGCGUAAAGCGUGAUUAAAGUUCCACCCCCAUUAGAGUCAAACUAAAAUUAAGCUGUGACACGCUUGUAUUUAAGAAGCCCAUAAACGAAAGUUACUCCAACUCAACCAACUUGAACUCACGACAGCUAAAACACAAACUGGGAUUAGAUACCCCACUAUGCUUAGCCAUAAACUUUAAAUUACACCUUCUAUCGCCAGGGAACUACAAGCAAAGCUUAAAACCCAAAGGACUUGACGGUACCCCACAUCCACCUAGAGGAGCCUGUCCUAUAAUCGAUACCCCCCGCUAAACCUCACCACUUCUCGCCCACUCAGCCUGUAUACCUCCGUCGUCAGCUUACCACGUGAGCGCAACUCAGUGAGCUCAAUGCCCAUACGCCAAUACGUCAGGUCAAGGUGCAGCAAACGAGGUGGGAAGAGAUGGGCUACACUCUCUAACAUAGAAAACACAGAAGAUUACCUAUGAAACCUAAUCCAAAGGCGGAUUUAGAAGUAAAAAGAAAAAAGAAUGUUCUUUUUAACUCGGCACUGGGGUGUGUACACACCGCCCGUCACCCUCUUCWUAAGCCACCAAAAAGUAAAUAACUAAACACAGCACGACAGAAGAGGCAAGUCGUAACAUGGUAAGUAUACCGGAA